GCUCUCAUCGUCUAGUUGGUCAGGACACAUGGUUCUCAUCCAUGAAACCCGGGUUCAAAUCCCGGUGAGAGCGCAA
RNAcentral lists this transfer RNA (76 nucleotides) under Candidatus Harrisonbacteria bacterium CG10_big_fil_rev_8_21_14_0_10_42_17. Its description in RNAcentral is "tRNA-Glu". It matches the Rfam family "tRNA". From Rfam's summary of the family: Transfer RNA (tRNA) molecules are approximately 80 nucleotides in length. Their secondary structure includes four short double-helical elements and three loops (D, anti-codon, and T loops). Lineage: Bacteria; Candidatus Harrisoniibacteriota. The record is from RNAcentral.